UGGCGGACGGGUGAGUAACACGUGGGCAACCUGCCCUGUAGACUGGGAUAACUUCGGGAAACCGGAGCUAAUACCGGAUAAUCCAUUUCACCUCAUGGUGAAAUGUUGAAAGGCGCUUCGGCGUCACUACAGGAUGGGCCCGCGGUGCAUUAGCUAGUUGGUGGGGUAACGGCCUACCAAGGCAACGAUGCAUAGCCGACCUGAGAGGGUGAUCGGCCACAUUGGGACUGAGACACGGCCCAAACUCCUACGGGAGGCAGCAGUAGGGAAUCUUCCACAAUGGACGAAAGUCUGAUGGAGCAACGCCGCGUGAGUGAUGAAGGUUUUCGGAUCGUAAAACUCUGUUGUAAGGGAAGAACGAGUACGUUAGGAAAUGAACGUACCUUGACGGUACCUUAUUAGAAAGCCACGGCUAACUACGUGCCAGCAGCCGCGGUAAU
Molecule: ribosomal RNA, 440 nt
Filed under: bacterium enrichment culture clone N3h07
Lineage: Bacteria
Description: bacterial SSU rRNA
Rfam family: Bacterial small subunit ribosomal RNA
Source: RNAcentral